GACGAACGCUGGCGGCGUGCCUAAUACAUGCAAGUAGAACGCUGAAGAGAGGAGCUUGCUCUUCUUGGAUGAGUUGCGAACGGGUGAGUAACGCGUAGGUAACCUGCCUUUUAUCGGGGGAUAACUAUUGGAAACGAUAGCUAAUACCGCAUAACAAUGGAUGACACAUGUCAUUUAUUUGAAAGGGGCAAUUGCUCCACUACAAGAUGGACCUGCGUUGGAAUAGGUAGUAGGUGAGGUAAUGGCUCACCUAGGCGGCGGUACAUAGCCGACCUGAGAGGGUGGUCGGGCCACACGGGAACGGGGAAACGGCCAGGAUUCUUACGGGGGGAGCAGUAGGGGAUCAUCGGCAAUGGGGGCAAACCUGGACGAGGCAAGCCGCGUGAGUGAAGGAGGUUUUCGGAGCGUAAAGCUCUGUUGGAAGUCAAGGAAGAGUGGGAGAGUGGAAAGUUCACGCUGUGACGGUAGCUAACGAGAAAGGGACGGCUAACUACGUG
This 497-nucleotide ribosomal RNA is filed under the name uncultured bacterium. RNAcentral describes it as "partial 16S ribosomal RNA". It matches the Rfam family "Bacterial small subunit ribosomal RNA", at positions 28 to 507 of the family's 1533-position model. The record is from RNAcentral.